UGUGCUGGGUUGUGCUGGGAUGGUGUGGAAUUGUGUGGGACGUGCUGGGUUGUGCUGGGAUGGGGCUGGGAUGUUUUUGGAUAGUGCUGGGAUGUGCUGGGAUGGUGUGGGCAAUCUGUUGUUUGUUAAUCUAUUCAUUUGUAAUCUUAUCACUGGUAAACUGUAACAACAGCAGGGCCCAGUUUCCUACUAUAGACAUCCGGAAACACCAACAAACACAGCAAUUUAAGGUAUGGACCCCAGGACUUACACAGCUUUAAAGAUUCUGCGUAGGGAUUAUGAACGGAUGUAUUGCAAAGAUGCCAGGCCUCCCCAUCUGACAAGACAAAGGAUGGCUGCCUAACAACAGGACCACACCUGCGCAAGAGAUAUUGUGCAGCCACGAACACAGGCUAGUGAACUGUAUAAAGACUGCCAGCUGGAAAGGGAAAGCGCGCGCCGUUGGUGGAGCAGAGACUCCCCGGCCGCCCAGCGCUGUUUUGCUUACUUGCUUGCUUUAAUAAAAGACGAUUUCCAUAAUAUAUAA
This is a long non-coding RNA of Tympanuchus pallidicinctus (lesser prairie-chicken), 526 nucleotides long. RefSeq lists it as uncharacterized. The transcript has 2 exons. The record is from RefSeq and is a predicted model, not a curated record. NCBI's taxonomy places the organism in Eukaryota, Metazoa, Chordata, Aves, Galliformes, Phasianidae.